GGUUCGCACAGUUUGGACUUAAAUCGAUUCGAAGAGUUCUAAUCAAGUUGGGUCAACUCACACUCACACCUAUUGCUGGCUAAGUAUGGAACCCAAUGGGUCACACACAAGGGAACUCAUUAAGGAUCUAAUUAGAUUAGACCAUGUUUGCAGAAUGAACAUGCUAGCACGUGUUGCAAACUCUAGCUCCUAAUUUGAAUUAGAUUCAAAUUUGAUUCUUGAUUUGGAUUGAUCUAAUUAAAUUAGCCAUUUUUGGUUAGAUCAUAUCCUAUUUUGGGUUAGCCAAGAGUUGGCACCUAAUUGGCUUGGUUUGAACCCAAUUAGAUUGGUUUGAUGGCACCAUAAUUGGAUAAGGAUGAAAAAUCUAUAUGGAUAAAGUAAUCUUAUCCAUUUAAAUUCCCUUAAUUAUUCUCAUGCCUAAAAUGCAUAAGGCGCCAUCAAUAUCAGCCAUUGAAUGAGGUUGGCGCCACAUAAGAUC
Molecule: long non-coding RNA, 478 nt
Filed under: Phoenix dactylifera (date palm)
Lineage: Eukaryota; Viridiplantae; Streptophyta; Magnoliopsida; Arecales; Arecaceae
Description: long non-coding RNA (PDAC_LNC011444)
Source: RNAcentral